Long non-coding RNA from Ipomoea nil (Japanese morning glory), 90 nucleotides. RefSeq lists it as uncharacterized. The transcript is spliced from 3 exons. Lineage: Eukaryota; Viridiplantae; Streptophyta; Magnoliopsida; Solanales; Convolvulaceae. The record is from RefSeq and is a predicted model, not a curated record.
GGCAACUACCAUGUAGUGUGAUGACAUCCCGAUUAUCAUUCCAAAUGGAUGGUCAUAGGUUUGAACCCUGAUUGGAGGUUUAAUUUCAUU